This 278-nucleotide long non-coding RNA is filed under the name Solanum lycopersicum (tomato). RNAcentral describes it as "partial TCONS_00018400". Lineage: Eukaryota; Viridiplantae; Streptophyta; Magnoliopsida; Solanales; Solanaceae. The record is from RNAcentral.
AGAAAAGUUUGAUGGCUUGUUAAAUCAUUGUUGAUGUGAUUUCAUGUUUGUGUGGUUGUGAACUGUGCAAUGUUAUGAAAAUGGUCAUCUUCUCAUUAUUUGUGUGAACAUGUCAUUGCAUUAUUCUGAGGCAUGGUUGUGGAAGUGUUAUGUGCAUUGAGAAAGAAUGAUAACUUAAAGAGGAUAUACCAUUUUGAGGGACGUAUCGCGCGCCACGAUGGUUACUAUAUUUCGAGGGACGUAUCACGCGCCGCGAUGGAUACUAUAUUUCGAGGGAC